ACUCCUACGGGAGGCAGCAGUGGGGAAUAUUGGACAAUGGGGGCAACCCUGAUCCAGCCAUGCCGCGUGAGUGAUGAAGGCCUUAGGGUUGUAAAGCUCUUUCAGCGAGGAGGAUAAUGACGUUACUCGCAGAAGAAGCCCCGGCUAACUUCGUGCCAGCAGCCGCGGUAAUACGAAGGGGCUAGCGUUGUUCGGAAUCACUGGGCGUAAAGCGCACGUAGGCGGAUUGAUAAGUUAGGGUGAAAUCCCGGGGCUCAACCUCGGAACUGCCUUUGAUACUGUCAGUCUUGAGUCCGAGAGAGGUGAGUGGAACUCCGAGUGUAGAGGUGAAAUUCGUAGAUAUUCGGAAGAACACCAGUGGCGAAGGCGGCUCACUGGCUCGGUACUGACGCUGAGGUGCGAAAGGCUGGGGAGCAAACAGGAUUAGAUACCCGUGGUAGGACAGUG
This 447-nucleotide ribosomal RNA is filed under the name uncultured bacterium. RNAcentral describes it as "bacterial SSU rRNA". It matches the Rfam family "Bacterial small subunit ribosomal RNA", at positions 335 to 800 of the family's 1533-position model. The record is from RNAcentral.